RNAcentral lists this ribosomal RNA (253 nucleotides) under uncultured bacterium. Its description in RNAcentral is "partial 16S ribosomal RNA". It matches the Rfam family "Bacterial small subunit ribosomal RNA", at positions 524 to 776 of the family's 1533-position model. The record is from RNAcentral.
UACGUAGGGGGCAAGCGUUGUCCGGAAUUAUUGGGCGUAAAGAGCGCGUAGGCGGUCUGAUAAGUCGGUUGUGAAAGUCGGGGGCUCAACCCUCGGAUGCCGAUCGAUACUGUCAGGCUAGAGUCCGGAAGAGGCGAGUGGAAUUCCUGGUGUAGCGGUGAAAUGCGCAGAUAUCAGGAGGAACACCAAUUGCGAAGGCGGCUUACUGGUCCGGUUCUGACGCUGAGGCGCGAAAGCGUGGGGAGCAAACAGG